This is a long non-coding RNA of Carassius gibelio (silver crucian carp), 1783 nucleotides long. RefSeq lists it as uncharacterized. NCBI's taxonomy places the organism in Eukaryota, Metazoa, Chordata, Actinopteri, Cypriniformes, Cyprinidae. The transcript has 6 exons. The record is from RefSeq and is a predicted model, not a curated record.
GUGCAUUUUUUUAAUUUAAGCACCCUUUCAUCUUCCCUUACACUCUUAUAAGUUUAAGAGUCUAUUUAGAUGACUCUUAACCCAUAUGUAUCUUUUUUGAUUUUUUUCAGAUGGAGACAUCCAGUAUGGUUUUCCGUAAAGGGAGACCAGCGAGGCCCAGAGAGAGAGGCACGGGCUGAGUUAGAUGGAGACAUCCAGUAUGGUUUUCCGUAAAGGGAGACCAGCGAGGCCCAGAGAGAGAGGCACGGGCUGAGUUAGCGGGCCAGCUGCACAAGCAGCCAGACAGGCGUUAAAGCAGGCGGGAAGAGAGUCGUCGUGAAAGACCCAGAGUAUGCUGGGACAGUAACAUUAGCAGGCAGGUGGUUAUGAAGCAGACGAGGAGGGGGAAGAGUCGAGGCCACAGGAGUAACGUUACGCUGAUGGAGACAUCCAGUAUGGUUUUCCGUAAAGGGAGACCAGCGAGGCCCAGAGAGAGGCACGGGCUGAGUUAGGUAAGUAGAAAUCUCUAAUUUUAUUUCUAAACACCAUUUAGGCUCCUAGGCAUUUAGGGCCUAGGCUCCUCCCCUCUGUUUAUUUAUGCUGCGGUGCCCGGGGAGGGUUCGGUGCGGGAUUUCCACGAUGAAUCGAACCGACAACCAUACGGUUAGGAGUCAAACUCUCUAACCACUAGGUCGCGACAUCAAACAAGUCAAUACAGUAAAAAAAUGAAAGAGAACACAUUGUUUAGGUCUUAAAUCUCUUAAAGCCAUCAGAAAAAAAUUAAAAAAUUCAAAAAUAAACAGAGGGGAGGAGCCUAGGCUCUAAGUUUAAUUUUUUUGUUUUAGUGUACACAAAUUGGACGAUAAAGAAAUUGCUAACAAUAGUAGGACUAUAAUAGAGCAUGUUUUAGGUUGUUAGGCGUUUAGAUGCAGAAAUGGACAAAAAAGUGUACACUAAAACAAAAAAAUUAAACUUAUAAGAGUGUAAGGGAAGAUGAAAGAGUGCUUAAAUUAAAAAAAAAUGCACUUUUAAGUGCUUGAUAUAUUCAAAGAAAAGGCUCUGAAAAAUUUACAAAUUGUCAAUUUAAUUUUUAAAUUUUAUUUCUAAACACCAUUUAGGCUCCUAGGCAUUUAGGGCCUAGGCUCCUCCCCUCUGUUUAUUUAUGCUGCCAUGCCCGGGGAGGGUUCACUGCGUUCACUUUGCCCCCAUAAUUUUUCUCUGGCCAGGAAGAGGCCACCUCGAAGGCCGAGGCCAAUUUGUUUAUUUUUGAAUUUUUACAUUUUUCAGAGCCUUUUCUUUGAAUAUAUCAAGCACUUAAAAGUGCAUUUUUUGAAUUUAAGCACUCUUUCAUCUUCCCUUACACUCUUAUAAGUUAAAUUUUUUUGUUUUAGUGUACACUUUUUUUGUGUUACUAUCUUCACAGACCCAUUUAUUUAUUUUUCACUUUCACACACUUAUUUGUGUUUUUAGCACCCCUUUGUUUUAUUUUACAACACAUAUUAAUCCACAUGACCAUCACAAUAAUCCACAAGUAAUCCACAUGACUCCAGUCCAUCAAUUAACGUCAUGUGAAGCAAAAAGCUGUGUGUUUGUAAUAAAAGAAUCCAUCAUUAACUUUAAACUAUUUGUUUUUGCCUAAAAUAUGAGAUUUUAAACUAUAUACAAGUACACAAGCCUUUUAUCGCGACGUUUCGACAGCUUUCUGUGUCUUCUUCAGGCAUGACUUGUGUAAAAUAAAUGUUUUCUUCUCUGAGCUCAAUUUAAUUUUUUAGAAUUAAAAGCUCCUUCCCUCUGUUUAUUUUGU